GGGUGAGUAACGCGUGGGUAACCUGCCUUAUACCGGGGGACAACAGUUGGAAACGACUGCUAAUACCGCAUAAGCGCACAGUCUCGCAUGAGACAGUGUGAAAAACUCCGGUGGUAUAAGAUGGACCCGCGUCUGAUUAGCCAGUUGGCGGUGUAACGGACCACCAAAGCGACGAUCAGUAGCCGGCCUGAGAGGGUGAACGGCCACAUUGGGACUGAGACACGGCCCAAACUCCUACGGGAGGCAGCAGUGGGGAAUAUUGCACAAUGGAGGAAACUCUGAUGCAGCGACGCCGCGUGAGUGAAGAAGUAUUUCGGUAUGUAAAGCUCUAUCAGCAGGAAAGAAAAUGACGGUACCUGACUAAGAAGCCCCGGCUAACUACGUGCCAGCAGCCGCGGUAAUACGUAGGGGGCAAGCGUUAUCCGGAUUUACUGGGUGUAAAGGGAGCGUAGACGGCCAUGCAAGUCUGAAGUGAAAGCUCGGGGCUCAACCCCGGAACUGCUUUGGAAACUGUAAGGCUGGAGUGCAGGAGAGGUAAGCGGAAUUCCUAGUGUAGCGGUGAAAUGCGUAGAUAUUAGGAGGAACACCAGAGGCGAAGGCGGCUUACUGGACUGUAACUG
Molecule: ribosomal RNA, 620 nt
Filed under: uncultured bacterium
Lineage: Bacteria
Description: bacterial SSU rRNA
Rfam family: Bacterial small subunit ribosomal RNA
Source: RNAcentral